Molecule: RNA transcript, 1559 nt
Organism: Cyprinus carpio (common carp)
Lineage: Eukaryota; Metazoa; Chordata; Actinopteri; Cypriniformes; Cyprinidae
Gene name: arginine/serine-rich protein 1-like
Exons: 4
Source: RefSeq, a predicted model, not a curated record
CACUGGGUUUCGGGUGAAAAAAACAAGCUGCGCACGAGCUACUUCACUUCACCGCAGAUAGAAAUCGACGACGUUUGCGUCUCAGAAAGACGGUUUGUUUCUAGAGAGUGUCCUCAAUUUGUACUUUAUUUCUGUAAUAUUUGACAGUUGUCGAAUUUUAAAUAGUUUCUGUUUUAACUUCGCUCGCUCGAGGAGUAACGUUACCGCGUGAUAAAUUUAAAGCGUUUUCCUCAGAGUCGGCCAUCUUACCGUUGGACCAAGACCUUUUUGACGGUUUGAUCAUGAAGGAGGAGGCCAGCCCUGGACGUCUCAGUGAGGGUGUGAAGCUCAUCUUUGAUCAGAAGGCUCCAUCCGGUCCCAGCUCCUCUCGCUCUCACAGCAGCAGCGACAGCUCGUUCUCCAGCAGCAGCAGGGGGAGCCGCUCCUCCCGCAGGUCUCGGAGCUCGUCACGGAGCUCAUCCUCCGACAGCAGCUCUUCCUCACGCUCUCGCUCACGUUCCCGCUCCCGUCCACGCUGCUCGGGCCGCUCACGCUGCCGUCACAGACACCAUUCUCCUCCUCGCCGCUACCGGGCUCGCUCCCGCUCUUACAGCCCUUCUCCUGAGCGUUCCUCCCACCGCAGACGCUACCAUCGCCGCAGUCGCUCUCCAUCCCCCUACAGCUACUCUAGACGCUACAGGCGUUCUCCAUCCCGAUCCCGCUCUCGCAGUCGCUCUCCGGUCUACUGGAGGGGAAGCAGGUUCAUGGGGAGGUACCGGUGCCAUUUCUCACGCUCACCCAGGCGCUCCAGAGAUUACAGAAGCCGGUCUCGCAGCCGUGAACGCUCUGCAGUCCGCCUCAGCCUUGAGGGUAAGAAAUAUCUGUUGAAUGUCGCCAAAGAAAAUGCUGCCAGGAUUUUGGGAGUGCAGAACUUAGAGCUGCCAGCUAGCCUGAAGGAGAUGGAGGAGGAGGAGAAGAUGAGAUCUUCAUCAGAUAGAGAGGAAAGGGUGAGCGCUGGCCCGGCACCACAGAAGACAUCAGCACAGGUGAGCCUCAAACAUGACUACAGACGUGUUACUAACACACAUCCUGUGUUUGUCAGACAUCUGUAAUGUUGCAUGAACGUCCUGAGUGGUUGACCAUAUUCUGACGUUAUAUCUGUCAUCUCGGGACGUUGACUAACCAAUUGAAACGGGUGUAUUUAAAAUGUGAUUGUGCGCUGUACUUACCCAACCUGGGUCACCAUGUAAUCUGUCUCCUCAGACAUGAAUGAUUUUACCUGAUGGAUUUAAUGGAAUGAUGAACAGCACUUGUCCGGAUUAGAGCUGAAACUCCUCCACCCUUUGGACAAAGAGGGAGAGAGGGGGAGGUCACAUGACUUGAAUGACACCAGCUUUAAGUCUUAUGUGCACAACUGCAAAGGUUAAGUAAUUGUGUACAAUGUCAGCGGUAGCCUUGUCGAACACAAACAGGCCACAUGCAUUUGUCUGAUUCACCUCACACAACACUUUCAGCCACCACACAACAACACAUGCGGAAAGGUUUGGGGUCAGUAGAAUUUUUUUUUUUUUUUUUUUUAA